GAACGAGGGACCCAGUAAGUCACCUGCCCAAGGAUAUUCAUAGGUAAAGUAUGGAGCUGCAAUUACAACCAUGGAUUCACUUCCAGAGCCCAUAUCGAAACCAGACAACUUUAUUAUGACAACAGAUGUAGGCCACAAAUAUUAAUAAACAGAGACGUCUUUCAGCUUGUGCAACUAAAAGAAAAGAAGAAACCUGACCGGC
RNAcentral lists this long non-coding RNA (202 nucleotides) under Fukomys damarensis (Damara mole-rat). RNAcentral describes it as "lncRNA (ENSFDAG00000022159.1)". Lineage: Eukaryota; Metazoa; Chordata; Mammalia; Rodentia; Bathyergidae. The record is from RNAcentral.